CCUACGGGGGGCAGCAGUGGGGAAUAUUGGACAAUGGGGGAAACCCUGAUCCAGCGACGCCGCGUGAGUGAAGAAGUAUUUCGGUACGUAAAGCUCUAUCAGCAGGAAAGAAAAUGACGGUACAUGACGAAGAAGCACCGGCUAACUACGUGCCAGCAGCCGAGGGAAUACGUAGGGGGCAAGCGUUAUCCGGAUUUACUGGGUGGAAAGGGAGCGUAGACGGCAGCGCAAGUCUGGAGUGAAAUGCCGGGGCCCAACCCCGGAACUGCUCUGGAAACUGUGAAGCUGGAGUGCAGGAGAGGUAAGCGGAAUUCCUGGUGUAGCGGUGAAGUGCGUAGAUAUCAGGAGGAACACCGGCGGCGAAGGCGGCUUACUGGACUGUAACUGACGUUGAGGCUCGAAGGCGUGGGGAGCAAACAGGAUUAGAUACCCGAGUAGUC
RNAcentral lists this ribosomal RNA (440 nucleotides) under uncultured bacterium. RNAcentral describes it as "partial 16S ribosomal RNA". It matches the Rfam family "Bacterial small subunit ribosomal RNA", at positions 338 to 795 of the family's 1533-position model. The record is from RNAcentral.